RNAcentral lists this ribosomal RNA (841 nucleotides) under Alteromonas confluentis. RNAcentral describes it as "bacterial SSU rRNA". It matches the Rfam family "Bacterial small subunit ribosomal RNA", at positions 1 to 837 of the family's 1533-position model. Lineage: Bacteria; Pseudomonadati; Pseudomonadota; Gammaproteobacteria; Alteromonadales; Alteromonadaceae. The record is from RNAcentral.
UUAAUUGAAGAGUUUGAUCAUGGCUCAGAUUGAACGCUGGCGGCAGGCCUAACACAUGCAAGUCGAACGGUAGCAGGAUGUGCUUGCACAUCGCUGACGAGUGGCGGACGGGUGAGUAAUGCUUGGGAACUUGCCUUUGCGAGGGGGAUAACAGUUGGAAACGACUGCUAAUACCGCAUAAUGUUUUCGAACCAAACGGGGCUUUUAGCUCCGGCGCAAAGAGAGGCCCAAGUGAGAUUAGCUAGUUGGUGAGGUAAAGGCUCACCAAGGCGACGAUCUCUAGCUGUUCUGAGAGGAAGAUCAGCCACACUGGGACUGAGACACGGCCCAGACUCCUACGGGAGGCAGCAGUGGGGAAUAUUGCACAAUGGGGGAAACCCUGAUGCAGCCAUGCCGCGUGUGUGAAGAAGGCCUUCGGGUUGUAAAGCACUUUCAGUUGUGAGGAAAGGUUGGUAGUUAAUACCUGCCAGCUGUGACGUUAACAACAGAAGAAGCACCGGCUAACUCCGUGCCAGCAGCCGCGGUAAUACGGAGGGUGCGAGCGUUAAUCGGAAUUACUGGGCGUAAAGCGCACGCAGGCGGUUUGUUAAGCUAGAUGUGAAAGCCCCGGGCUCAACCUGGGAUGGUCAUUUAGAACUGGCAGACUAGAGUCUUGGAGAGGGGAGUGGAAUUCCAGGUGUAGCGGUGAAAUGCGUAGAUAUCUGGAGGAACAUCAGUGGCGAAGGCGACUCCCUGGCCAAAGACUGACGCUCAUGUGCGAAAGUGUGGGUAGCGAACAGGAUUAGAUACCCUGGUAGUCCACACCGUAAACGCUGUCUACUAGCUGUGCGUGAAUUUAAUU